This 374-nucleotide ribosomal RNA is filed under the name uncultured bacterium. RNAcentral's name for it is "bacterial SSU rRNA". It matches the Rfam family "Bacterial small subunit ribosomal RNA", at positions 523 to 898 of the family's 1533-position model. The record is from RNAcentral.
AUACGUAGGUGGCUAGCGUUAUCCGGAUUUACUGGGCGUAAAGGGUGCGUAGGUGGUUUUUUAAGUCAGGAGUGAAAGGCUACGGCUCAACCGUAGUAAGCUCUUGAAACUAAAAAACUUGAGUGCAGGAGAGGAAAGUGGAAUUCCUAGUGUAGCGGUGAAAUGCGUAGAUAUUAGGAGGAACACCAGUAGCGAAGGCGGCUUUCUGGACUGUAACUGACACUGAGGCACGAAAGCGUGGGGAGCAAACAGGAUUAGAUACCCUGGUAGUCCACGCCGUAAACGAUGGAUACUAGGUGUAGGAGGGUUCAACCUUCUGUGCCGCCGCAAACGCAUUAAGUAUCCCGCCUGGGGAGUACGGUCGCAAGAUUAAA